UUUUUUUUUUUAGAGAAAAGUCAAAUUUUUAAAAAGUGGAAAUCAGAGAAAAUGGAAAGGCAUGAGAAGAAGGUAAAAAAAGCUACUGGCAUCACCUGUCUUCUGAAGCGGAAGGAAGAGGGUGCCUGAGGAACUUAGCUUGAAUUAGAAAAUUCCCGACUGAGCCAUGGAGUUAUCGUGUUCCAGGCAUGUGAAAAGGUGGCUGGGAUUAAAUCUUCCAGUGUUAGAGCUACAGGAGGCUCUAGUAUUUUUCUUAUCAACUAUAAAAUGCCUGGAAAAAGGGCCUUAACGCCCCAAUACAAUCAAAGCCUGGAGAUUGCAUAUGUAAUAGUUCCCCAAAAAAGAUUCAUAAUAUGUAGAAGAAAUUUUGCUGAGGAAAGAAUCUUUUUGUUUAUUUUGUUUUUUAGGGCCACACAUGCGGUAUAUGGACGUUCUCAGGCUAGGGUCAAAUCAGAGCUGUAGCUGCCGGCCCACACCACAGCCACAGCAAUGUCAGAUCUGAGCCACAUCUGUGACCUACACUGCAUCUCACGGCAAUGCCGGAUCCUUAACCCGCUGAGCGAGGCUAGGGAUCGAACCUGCAUCCUCAUGGAUCCUAGUUGGGUUUGUUACCUACCACUGAGCCACAGUGGGAACGCUCUGAGGAAAGAAUCUUAACAGAAGUUUUGAAGUUAGCCAACAAGAAAAAUUCAUCUACUCGCUCCUUGAUUCAUUCAUUUGAAAAAUACCAAUUGCAUCCACUAGGGCUUGGGUCCAAUGUCAAGUCCUGAGGUUACAUCUGUGAACAAGGCAUAGUCUAGACACUCAAAAGUGCUCACUUGCAAGUGAGGAGAGCCACCCAUAAGCGGGCCUUGAUCAUGCAAACUGAUGAGACAGGAGAUGGGAGAGGGCAAAGUGCGGAGGACACACCUGGGAGGCUACCAAGCCCGCCUCCAGAGCUCCCUGGGGAGUCGCGUGGCAUGUUUGAUGCCUGCAACUCACCCCAGUGACACUUUGUUAUUCUUUACGGUUAACGUGUAUACAAGGAAGUGAUUAAACAACAUGAGUGGGGUGUGUGUGUUUGUGUUUAUGCACGUAAAAAAGGAUCCUGAACAGAACCACAGCUUGUGACAGGAUAGUAUUUAAAUAUUUAAAUACUGAAGCUCGUGGUUUUAUUUAUUUAUUUAUUUAUGUAUUUGAAGCUGAAGCUCAGAGAAAGGAUUUGAUGUCUUAGACCCCAGGGCUGAGCCGCAUCUGGAACCCAGGUCUCCAAGCUCUGGAACCCAGAGCCCUCUACAUGCACCGAUUUAAUAUUUACAGCUGUAACCUUUGUACAUCUUACACAGAAGAAGGGGCCCUGGUCACAGAGGCUCAGAAGACAGAAUCUCUAGGCCAUAUUUGACCACCAAGAAUCUGGGAGAGCCUCAAUUCACUGUCCCGAGUUCCAUCUGCCCACCUGUAACCUGAGCAAGGGCUUCUCCACGUCGUCUGGUGUCCCCGAUGGUUAUUCAGAAUAGAUGAAAGUGUCUUAUCCACAAAUACACUGAACACAAGUAUUGGUUGAAGAAAGGAGUUUAGACACACACACACACACACACACACACACUAUGCCAAUGCAUCGCCCUUCUCAGAUUCAGAAGCCACUGCUGGUGUUCUCCUUACUCCGAGUCUCGGGAGCACUGGCCUGUACAGCUGACAUCAAAAACAGAAUGGUUUCCUAUUGGAAACGACAAUCUAUGAGCUGUUGCAGGACAAGCCCUGGGGUGGGGAGGCUCUGAUCUUCUAGAACCUGCUGGUGGGCUGCUGCUGCAGGUACCCAGCCCUGGACCUGAGCCACGGAACAGACACUGAGGAGGGCAAAGACAGAGAGAACGAACCAACUGACCACGGAAGAUAAUGACCCCAGUGAAACCAAGUGCCUAAAGGGGAGAGACGUCCAUGUGGGAGAGGAGGAGAGAAGAGAGGGAGAGGGAGCAACAGAGAGACGUGGAGGAGGAGGAAGAGGAGGAGCAGGAGGGAAGAGGAAACAAGAGAACAGGAGCACGUGGGAGCUUCGGGUCAACAGUCGAGACCCAAAUGAACGACAUGGAAGAUCAAGCUGAAGGACGCUUUAUUCGAGCCUCACCCUCAGUAAGACAAAGAGCCUGGAUAAAAUCCCUUUAAGGUGAGACUGCACAAAGCAUCGUGCUGGAUCUGCUGGGCAGCUCCCCAGAACUCCAGCCCCUGUGGCCAAUGCCAGGGGGAAGAGUUUGGGGUCUGGUGCGUUCUGGACCCAGAUUCCCAUGGUAGCAUUUAGCCGCUAGAUUAUCCCGAGCCUGGGAGAUGUUNCCAUUCCAUUAUCCCCCCAACCCUGUUCCCUGGGCCAGUGUCAGCCCCAGGCGCUGUGCUGAGGAGGGCAGGUUGUGUAGAAAGGGGCAGGCUCCCCCUGGAGAUCCCCACCCAGGGAUCCCCGGGCAACACUCCUCCAAGGACUUUUCUUCUCUAGGAACUCGCUUCUGUCAGCCUCUCUUGUCUGUCCACUGGCCCCUAAGCCUUCCAUCUACAAGUUCAGUUUCUAAGUCAACAGGACCCCCAGACAGGCCUCCGGUCCCCUUGGGGGAACUGUCAGGAUCUGUGUGUGUGUGUGUUGCAAGCAAGCUCAUUGCAUGGACCUGGCACAGGCGGGAUCCAGCUCCCUUCCAGGGCCACGUGACCCUGGCAGCAUUACUCACUUGGGUGCCCUCCAGCAGGGGCAGCUGGGGACACCUCCCUAGAGUGACUACAGCGUUUAUCACGGGGAUGACUCAGCCCGCCCGAGCCUCUCUCUCCCUGAAAAGGGAAUCUGAGGCCAGGGCCGGGGUGAGAGUGUCCAUUAGACCAUCUAUAGCCUCGGGAGCCCGGAAACUCCCCUCACCUGGGAAGCACGCAGGACGGACGGACGGGAUGAGUAAAGCUCAGGUCAGUGGCUCAGAAACUCAGAGUGAAGCAUGACUUUAUUCUAGAAGCUUGGGUGACC
RNAcentral lists this long non-coding RNA (2974 nucleotides) under Sus scrofa (pig). RNAcentral describes it as "lncRNA (ENSSSCG00050059872.1)". The record is from RNAcentral. Lineage: Eukaryota; Metazoa; Chordata; Mammalia; Artiodactyla; Suidae.